UCGCUGGCCGUGCUGUAGCAGCACGUACAUACUGGAGUGGCGCCGAUUGGGGUCUCCAGUGUUGGCGGAUCUGCUUCAGUAAGGCCAGC
Molecule: microRNA precursor, 89 nt
Organism: Lepisosteus oculatus (spotted gar)
Lineage: Eukaryota; Metazoa; Chordata; Actinopteri; Semionotiformes; Lepisosteidae
Source: Ensembl